GCAUCUGUGUUUCAAGCAGGAGGGAGAAGGAAAAGGGUUAGGGUUGGUGGGUAGGCUCAGUGCGUAGGUAGGAUGCUUGCCUCAGACACACAAGGCCCCCAACACAACCCAAGCUGGCAGUGGUGAGAUAUAAAUGCCACUUGGUGUCAUGGUUAGUUUUUGUCAACUUGACACAAACCUAGACACACCAGGGAAGAAGAACUCUCAACUGAGGAAGAACCUUCAUUGGAUUGGCCAUUGGUAUCCCUACUCUAUUCUGCCAGGUAGUGGAAAUGUAAUCUCAGUCAUCAAAACAAUACAAAGCCAACCGACCGACCGACCACCAACCAACCAAUCAACCAACCAACCAAUCAACCAAUUGAAAAACAGCAGUGCUAUGUAAAGUGCAUGUAGGUGCCUUUGAAGGCCAGAAGAAGACGUCGGAUUCUGAGGAGCUGGAGUUACAGAUGGAUGUUAGCUGCCUCACAGAGAUGCUGGGAACCGAACUCAGGUGCUUUGUAACUUGGUAAGCGUUCUUAACCGCUAAGCAAUCUCGAUCGUUCUAGCCUUAGCCCUAUGCCUUUAAUCAUAGGCUACUCAUAAUAUCCAACACAACAUGUAAAUAUUUGCUUUUCUGUGCUACUUAAGAGUAAUGGCCAGAAAAAGACGUAGGAAUGCUCGGUACAUACACGAUUGCGUGUCAGAUAUUUUCUGUCUGUCGGCGGGCUACAAAUGGAGAACUCUCGGGCAACUGCGUUUGCUGGAUAAAUGUGGAGCUAGAGGUGAUGCCUUUUGUAGACAUUUUUGAAUCAGAAUAGCAUACUGAACCUUGGGCUUGAGAAGGUCAUUAUCUCGAGAAUAAGUUUCUCAAAGCAACAAAUGGAAACAGUCUCUAAAGUCCUCAGUACAGUCUGUGGGGAGGCUUUUGUUAGAUGUUGAAAAUCUAAACAUUUCAAGGCUUCAAAAGGUAAGAGGUUCAAAAUGACACUAACAAGUAUAGAACCAUCGACUCCCCCAAAUCUUCCCUUUUAUGACUGAGUCAGUCGAUUAUCAAGUAGGGAGGCCCAGGGAGGCUCCUGUUGCAACCUAAUUCGUGAGCCUUCUCUCAUUCUAUCUGACAAGAUUAAAAGUGGAACGCUAGCUCAUUGCCCCUUCCCCACAGCCCUCCUGUCCAGGACUUAAGCCCUUGAAUACAUCUGCUCCCUGGUGCUUCCUUUGCAGCAGACAGCUAGGACCUGGAAAAAGCCUCCCAUUUUAAAGGCCGAGGUCCCCGGUUAGAAGGACCAGAUGGGACUAUUGACUGCAAGCAGGAGCUGAGAGUGUCAUCCCUAGCUCUUACUCCUCUUUCAUGAUCCCUGUUGGAUUUUCAUACAAAUUACCUCUCCCGGGGGCAUUUUCUCUCUGCCCUUCCCCAGUGUGCUUUCCCAGGCUUCAGGCUUUGUGUGUAUUUGCAAGAUACACACAGCGAAGGCAAAGCUCAGACUCCUGUUUUCUGUGAAUACUGUGUUCAGUCCGGUCCCCGCAGCCCCACCCUGACGGCACAGCCUUCUCUUGUUGCCCAAGUAUUUCUCUGAGCCCUGGGAACAGGGCAGGACGGCUAGCAGAGGGUGAGCAAACAGACGGGGAGCCGCAUUUAACACCAUCUGCCACUUCCACCGAGGUCAAUGGGAUAAACCGAUUUGCUAAACAAAAUGGUUAACAACUCAUGAAUAAAAACUUGAAGAAAAAUUCCAAAAGGGAUUUCCAUACCGUUCCUAGUCUACAGUUCGCUCAUCUUUGGCACAGCCCAGGCCCCACAACUGCUUUUGAUCAUGCACUUUUCUUGGAUUCCAGUAGGGGGCAGCUGCCAUUAGGUCUGGAGAGAGAACUCAUUUAUAAAACCUUUCUAAAAAUCCCGUGAGAGGUUCGCCUUCCACAGGGACAAGCCACCUGAGUGGUUAGCAACACCAAGUGGUCAGUUUGAAAAACAUAUGCAUCUAAGCGUCACUAAAUGGACUCAGCAGGCUGUAUUAUUAAUUCAUCCAUUUAUGUAUGCACCAAUAACAAUGAAAGGAAAAGAAGCGGUGAUUUUUGAAAG
Molecule: small RNA, 2056 nt
Filed under: Rattus norvegicus (Norway rat)
Lineage: Eukaryota; Metazoa; Chordata; Mammalia; Rodentia; Muridae
Description: uncharacterized LOC108352947
Source: RNAcentral